CAACACUGCACGCAUCACUGUUCUAUGUGGAACAUACGCAACCCCGAGAGGGAGAAACGCCGUGUCCCUGCAGAGCGCAGGCGGGCAAACUGCCUCACACUGAUCACAUCUCCUGAGAGAAACGCUUCCUGUGUGCCACCGGCUCUCGACCGUGAGCUGACACUGAUGUGUGCUGUCACCUCUGCUGCACCUGGAGGUGGGACUGAAACGUAUUCGCACAGGACGGGAAAUCUCAGGCCUUUCGCAUGGCAGGUUAUGGGUGAGAAUUUGUAUACUUCCACAACUCACGGGUGCCAGUACGAGUUCCUGAAUUGUGCAUGCAAUACUCCCCGAACACACCUGCUGGCUGUGGAGCGCUGUAGAAAAGAUGAAGAGGAUCCUCCAUCGGUACGAUAGCAGAGCAAAAGCAGCAGAAGUAACUGUUUGGCUAAAAGGGAGCAGCCUCUGUAGCUGUUUACGGCGCUCAGAUUUCCAGAGGAGUGGAGCCCGUGCUGGAGGUGCAUAAAGAGAGAAACCCCUGGAGCUGACAAAAGGCAAACGAAGAAGCGGAGGGGAGGAAGAUCGGGUGCCGUAUCCAUCGUUCAAGUCUCGGCUUGCGUUCAGUAGUUCAAUAUUACACCCACUCCACCCAUUUUUUGAUUUGAAACUGACAGUUUUUUUUUUCUGAAGCGCUUUACUCCAUAUCACAGGGAGGAAAUGAGAGCACUGAAUUCCACAAGAUGUGAAAGGUGAAAAAUGGAGAAAAACACCCUCCUCCUCCAGAUGUAAAAAAGGAAAACACCCAAAACACAGAGUGAAAACAAAUACAUAAAUAAAUAAAUCAACAAUAGGAGCUGCAGCUGAGAAGGGAGACAUUGCGAAAAAUUGCAGUGGGGAUAUUUUAAAUUGCCGUUGUAUAAAUAAUUUAGGUACCUGUGACAGUGUUGUUGUUCACCAUAAUGUUUGAUGCAUCAGAGAAAGGAGUAAGAUUAAGAAGCCUUUUUUUUUAUAAUUGAUGCCGCGGUGCACAUCUGGUGUUACGCUGCCACCAGUGCACAGCUAUCCUCUUUACAAAAUGACUGCAAAACUGUCAAUUGUCCCCACAGUUGAAUAGUUAGUGGCAGACUCUGUUCCUUCAGCUGGUAUGAAAAGGGCUAUUGCACACAUCUGAACCAUCUUACUUCUGGAGGCUACCAUAAAAGAUCUAAACCAGACUAUUAUGGGUUUGCAUUGAGUGUUUGACACGUUUUGAACAAAAGGCUGGCUGGAUUGAUGGAGAGAAAUAAUGCUUAUAGCUUUCUUGUGACCUCAACUAGACCUUGUAGAACACCCCAUGAUUCAGAGCGUUGUUAUGCCGGCCUAAUACCAUGUCAGUCCCAAUGCUCACGGUUAGCAUCACUCCUCCCUACCUUCGUCAGUAACUCGGCCGAGCACAAAUGACCCUUGCCAGUGCACUGGGGGCUGGCGUGAACUUAAUCACUUGAGCAAAUUGAAACCACUCGCUCUGCAGUAUUUUUACAGGGGUAUAGCAUAUGACCUCAGCCUAUACUGACUGACCUCUGCUUUUGAAAAGGACUCGAGGCCUGAGGAACAUUUUUUUUUUUCGGGUUGAUCCAUUUUAGGUCGGAAUUACCCCACUUGCUGUGUGAUUUAUAACACUGGCGUAAUUCUCUCAUAGUUGACAUUUAGAGGACGUGGUAAAAGUGUUGUUUUCAGUGUGAAUGUGUUUUUAUCAUUGGGGAGAUCCACCACCUUUUGAAGGCCUUCCGGAGCCCGCAGUAAAGUUUCUGACCCUGAUUACGGGUUCCCAGCUCUGGCUCCUAUCAGCGGGGGAGUAGGGUCAACGGCCCUCAGCAAAAAAAGAACCUUUAGUCAACACAACUGAUCUGACACAGUGUCGGAAUGCUCUGUGAUUGAUUCUUGCUGUCCGUGGGAAAAUAUGUAGUGACUUAAUUUCUUAUAUGAGUCAUCUGCCGCCACGAGAGCAGUGAAAGACAUAUGGCGGUGAAAUAGAAAAAAAGAAAAGCGCUAAUCCAGGCGGACGGGUUACAGGCUAGCUGUUAGCACAUGUUUACCUGUGUCUGUUCUUUUGUUCUUUAUCCCAGAGCUCAGCACUGGGAUGUCGGGGGCAUUGAGAGACUUACACAGGUUCACCAAGAUCUGCUUUCACUCAGACUCAUGUCA
Long non-coding RNA from Gasterosteus aculeatus aculeatus (three-spined stickleback), 2163 nucleotides. The record is from Ensembl. NCBI's taxonomy places the organism in Eukaryota, Metazoa, Chordata, Actinopteri, Perciformes, Gasterosteidae.